This 388-nucleotide ribosomal RNA is filed under the name uncultured bacterium. Its description in RNAcentral is "bacterial SSU rRNA". It matches the Rfam family "Bacterial small subunit ribosomal RNA", at positions 29 to 408 of the family's 1533-position model. The record is from RNAcentral.
AGUGAACGCUGGCGGCGCGCCUAAUACAUGCAAGUCGAGCGAGAAGACGUAGCAAUACGUUUGUAAAGCGGCGAACGGGUGAGGAAUACAUGGGUAACCUACCCUCGAGUGGGGAAUAACUAGCCGAAAGGUUAGCUAAUACCGCGUACGCUUCUUGGACUUCGGCUCAGGGAGGAAAGCGAUACCGUGGGUAUCGCGCUCUUGGAUGGGCUCAUGUCCUAUCAGCUUGUUGGGAGGUAACGGCUCACCAAGGCUUCGACGGGUAGCUGGUCUGAGAGGACGAUCAGCCACACUGGCACUGCGACACGGGCCAGACUCCUACGGGAGGCAGCAGUGAGGAAUAUUGCGCAAUGGGCGAAAGCCUGACGCAGCGACGCCGCGUGGGGGA